Small nuclear RNA from Molossus molossus (Pallas's mastiff bat), 168 nucleotides. RefSeq annotates it as U1 spliceosomal RNA. The record is from RefSeq and is a predicted model, not a curated record. The transcript has a single exon. Lineage: Eukaryota; Metazoa; Chordata; Mammalia; Chiroptera; Molossidae.
CUACUUACCUGGCAGGGGAGAUACCAUGAUCACAAGAUGGUUUUCCCAGAGCAAAGCUUAUCCAUUGCACUCCGAAUGUGCUGACCUCUGUGAUUUCCCCAAAUGUGGAAAACUUGGCCACAUAAUUUGUGGUAAUGAGGGACAGACUGUGUAUACAGUUUCCCCUAA